RNAcentral lists this ribosomal RNA (446 nucleotides) under uncultured bacterium. Its description in RNAcentral is "partial 16S ribosomal RNA". It matches the Rfam family "Bacterial small subunit ribosomal RNA", at positions 338 to 795 of the family's 1533-position model. The record is from RNAcentral.
CCUACGGGGUGCAGCAGUCGAGAAUCAUUCACAAUGGGGGAAACCCUGAUGCUGCGACGCCGCGUGGGGGAAUGAAGGUCUUCGGAUUGUAAACCCCUGUCAUGUGGGAGCAAAUUAAAAAGAUAGUACCACAAGAGGAAGAGACGGCCAACUCGGUGCCAGCAGCCGCGGUAAUACAGAGGUCUCAAGCGUGGUUCGGAAUCACUGGGCGUAAAGCGUGCGUAGGCUGUUUCGUAAGUCGUGUGUGAAAGGCGCGGGCUCAACCCGCGGACGGCACAUGAUACUGCGAGACUAGAGUGAUGGAGAGGGAACCGGAAUUCUCGGUGUAGCAGUGAAAUGCGUAGAUAUCGGGAGGAACACUCGUGGCGAAGGCGGGUUCCUGGACAUUAACUGACGCUGAGGCACGAAGGCCAGGGGAGCGAAAGGGAUUAGAUACCCGGGUAGUC